UAAUGGGAUUCGGAUUCGGAUUCCGUCGGAUUGGCGGGAUUCCAGGGUGGCGAAACCCCAAAGGGGAUACUUUAACAGCUUGCAGUCGAGUGGUAAAUCCAUUAACUUGAGUGUUUACGACAGGCUAAUACCGUGUAGCUUAUACCUCAUAUUAUGAGGUGCUACUUUCAACAGCUUAUCAACAUUAGAUAUUAUGUUUAUUUCAGUCAGAACUCGCUAUUUGACAGUAAUUAAUCUAAUCACUUUAAAGGCACUUCAUACAUACAAAACUUAUCUAAUGCUCACAACGCAAAAUAUACCAAUCAUUUGUAUCAGUUUGCUACAUAUUUAUUCAGAUCUGCUAUAUAUGGCUAAUAAAUAUAAAAUGUGUCUAAAAUGACGCAUUUUAAGGUUGAUACUCGCGAAAUUAAAUUAAACUAUUUUUGCUUGUAUACUUAUUGCUGAUAAGAAGUAACUUUAAUGUUUCAAAUCAACAAAUCACUUAUUUCUUAAUGACUUAUGCUAAUGCCAAAUGGGCUUUGGCUAAACCAAUACACCCAUCGUUUCUAAAUAAACGGGUAUCGCAGAUCGCCUAAUAGCAUUGAAUCGUCUACUUGGAUUACACGCCCUAAGGUUAAUCCAACUUAGUAGAUGCCAUUGCCUAGUAACUUACCUGCCUCAACUAAAAUGUCAUGCUAAUAGUAUUGAAUCACUCUUAUCGCGUGGCGGGAAAAUUCCACACUCUGCCAGUCGCAGAGCGUCCGUUACACUUUCAUUCAUGUAAACAAGUGGCAAAAUCAACCCCAACAACACCGCCAUCAAUGUUAAUGUCAUCUAUAAGCUCCCAAGAUCAUUGCACUCGUCGCUAUAUAUUCUUAAUCUCUUAGUGUCUGUGGUCUGCAUGAGUAAGAGAUAAUCUCUCGGCAAAAGCUCAUGUCUUAUACAAAGUACUAUCAUUUUGAAGCCAACAUAUCGGUCGUCUCAAUAUUUUCGAGAAUGGUGGAAUUAAUAUUUUAAAUACAAUUUGUAUUUAUAUAAACUUGUAGGUGCCUAAUUUCUUUAAAAAGCAUUUUUACUGCCUACUUUCAGGCGACAGGUGAUUGACCAAAGCCCCAUAAGUUCUCUGUGGUGGGCGCUCUUGUUUAUGCACUACUUUUUUUCUUAAAAGAUUUUUUCAAUGAAAAGCUUGGCUAUUGCCGCCGUUUCCUUUGUUUCGGUCUUUAUAAGUGCUUCCCGUCUCCGCCACCAGCCUCCCCACCCACAGACGGUUUAUUAUUUUUGCAGUUUUGUUUUGACUCAUUUUCUCAGUGUGAGGCGUUGUGCUUGUGUGUGUGCGAUCGCUGGCAAGUUGUCCAACUGGCUCUGCCUCUUUUUUGUGUAUGUGUGACGCCAUUAGGCGGGCAAAAUAAAAACAAAGCGCUGCAUGUAUGGGUUUUUGAGGCCGCCUAGCAACAAUGUCUCGAAGUUGUCGCCGCCUGUCGACUGUUUUUACCUUUGGCUUCUGUUUUGAUCGGGUGGCGUGUUUUGUAGCCUCUUUUUGGCCAUAAAGCCACCCGCUUACAGGCCAAGUGCAGUAAGUAACACUAAAGUAUAACACUUGUGUAUGGGCUGGAGGUAUCCGAAAGAUACUUUUUUGUUUCAUUGAGCUGCCAUUGAUGAUAACCUUUAGAUACAGCGACGUCGGUGAAGUGACAACCAAAUGAAUAAUAUUAUUGUUGACGACGCGAGCCUCUGAAUCUAUUUUUCAGGCCGAGCCUCCGUUCGCGAAUUUACCAUAGCAAAUAGCAUUAUUUAUGCAGGCGAGGAAUAAAAACAAUUUCUUAAAUGUAAUAAAGAUUAAUACCGCUUAUCAGUUGAAUGGCACACGCGGCUUUUUGGAAGGCCCCAUCGAUCAGCGAAUGCUUUGCUGAAAAUAUGAAGGAAACCAGGCUCAUAGUCUGCUAAUGAUUACCUAUCAGUUAAUGGUUUGUUUACCGCAAUUUCCCAGAAUUCCCAGAAACUUCUAGAUAAGAUUCCCCAAUAUAAUGACGAUUUGUUUGCAUUUCCUCUACAAACAUGAAUCAUUUCAUUCAUCGAGUAAGCCGCUUGCCACCAAUUCGAAUUGCACGCAAAGCUUUCGCAAGUAGAUUUUACUGCAUGUAACCGAUGGAAUAAACCAGACCAGACCCAGACCCGCAUUCAACCAUUACCUUAUACACAGUAUUUCACUCGCGGAACACUUUAAUCUACAAGUACAUAUGUAUAUUCGUAUAUGAAAGCGUGGGCAGUCUGGAAUCGCUUAUCAGUCGGUAAACAAAAUACGAAAUUAGUUGCUUCCACUCUCUGUGGACUUUGAUAUGCGGUAAUGAGCAUUCUAUUAGUACUUAUAAAACAUCCUCCAGACUGGGUGCCGUAUAAUCCAGUUCAGACUGAAUUUCCCACCGCACUUUCUGCGUAUUUUACUGGGAGAAGAAGGCAUUUCUGGGAACAAAGAUUAAUAAUAAACAAAGUUUCACUAGGAAUGUGCAACCAAGUGUGUUUACCUAUGAUGACGCGGAUAAUAAUCUUUCCAGCGGAAAACUUUGCAUUUGCGAAACUGAUAUGAGAUUUUCCUCUAAACAAACCUCGCGUCACAGCCACUUUUAGUAGGUCACAUAUAAUUUAACAAUAUCUAGCGCAUGUUUUGGCUUUAUGAAAAGUAUCCCAUCUCUAGUUUAAGUAUCCAUAAAAUGGUGUUCCCCACCCCUCCUCGAUGGUCUACUGGGUCCUCCAGCUGAUAAGCCGCAGAUUGUGGCCGCCUUUCGCCUUCAAUUUCAGAUACUGGGCGCUGGGUUGGUUCUUUCAUCGAAUCUGAGGCAGAGGGGCAAGGCUAAUGAACCCUCCGAUGAAACCAGUUUCGUUUAUUUCAUCAGACUGCAAGUACAGUUUUUGGCUGUGGAAAAUCUGUUGAAUCAGCUGACACCCCCAUGACUGUUGCCAAGUGUUUUGGGUGAACAUUUUCGUAUACCACUAACCGUACUAUUAUUAGACUGAUAUGUUCUUUUUCCACAUGUUCUUUUUCCAUAUACACACACAUACAUCAGUGGAACACGCUCUGGCUGAAAAUUCGACGAAUGUAUUUAUUGCGUAUUUUUUGCAAUAAAAAGCGCAAAUGAAUGCGUAAACAACAAGAGGAAGUCCACGAAGUGGGAAAUACA
Drosophila sechellia is the source of this 3155-nucleotide long non-coding RNA. RefSeq lists it as uncharacterized. The record is from RefSeq and is a predicted model, not a curated record. The transcript has 2 exons. NCBI's taxonomy places the organism in Eukaryota, Metazoa, Arthropoda, Insecta, Diptera, Drosophilidae.